Molecule: ribosomal RNA, 465 nt
Filed under: uncultured bacterium
Lineage: Bacteria
Description: partial 16S ribosomal RNA
Rfam family: Bacterial small subunit ribosomal RNA
Source: RNAcentral
GAUGAACGCUGGCGGCGUGCUUAACACAUGCAAGUCGAACGGAAAGGCUCCUGCUUGCAGGGGUACUCGAGUGGCGAACGGGUGAGUAACACGUGGGUGAUCUGCCCUGCACUUCGGGAUAAGCCUGGGAAACUGGGUCUAAUACCGGAUAGGACGAUGGUUUGGAUGCCAUUGUGGAAAGUUUUUUCGGUGUGGGAUGAGCUCGCGGCCUAUCAGCUUGUUGGUGGGGUAAUGGCCUACCAAGGCGUCGACGGGUAGCCGGCCUGAGAGGGUGUACGGCCACAUUGGGACUGAGAUACGGCCCAGACUCCUACGGGAGGCAGCAGUGGGGAAUAUUGCACAAUGGGCGCAAGCCGGAUGCAGCGACGCCGCGUGGGGGAUGACGGCCUUCGGGUUGUAAACUCCUUUCGCUAGGGACGAAGCGCAAGUGACGGUACCUGGAGAAGAAGCACCGGCGAACUACGU